This 253-nucleotide ribosomal RNA is filed under the name uncultured bacterium. RNAcentral describes it as "partial 16S ribosomal RNA". It matches the Rfam family "Bacterial small subunit ribosomal RNA", at positions 524 to 776 of the family's 1533-position model. The record is from RNAcentral.
UACGUAGGGGGCAAGCGUUGUCCGGAAUCAUUGGGCGUAAAGAGCGUGUAGGCGGUUCGGUAAGUCGGCUGUGAAAGUCCAGGGCUCAACCCCGGGAUGCCGGUCGAUACUGCCGGACUAGAGUUCGGAAGAGGCGAGUGGAAUUCCCGGUGUAGCGGUGAAAUGCGCAGAUAUCGGGAGGAACACCUAUGGCGAAGGCAGCUCGCUGGGACGUUACUGACGCUGAGGAGCGAAAGCGUGGGGAGCGAACAGG